RNAcentral lists this ribosomal RNA (698 nucleotides) under uncultured bacterium. RNAcentral describes it as "bacterial SSU rRNA". It matches the Rfam family "Bacterial small subunit ribosomal RNA", at positions 807 to 1501 of the family's 1533-position model. The record is from RNAcentral.
CGAUGAUAACUAGCUGCUAGGGCCCACAGGGCUUUGGUGGCGCAGCUAACGCAUUAAGUUAUCCGCCUGGGGAGUACGGUCGCAAGAUUAAAACUCAAAGGAAUUGACGGGGGCCUGCACAAGCGGUGGAGCAUGUGGUUUAAUUCGACGCAACGCGCAGAACCUUACCAGCGUUUGACAUCCUUAUCGCGGAUUCCAGAGAUGGAUUCCUUCAGCUCGGCUGGAUAAGUGACAGGUGCUGCAUGGCUGUCGUCAGCUCGUGUCGUGAGAUGUUGGGUUAAGUCCCGCAACGAGCGCAACCCUCAUCUUUAGUUGCCAUCAGUUCGGCAGGGCACUCUAGAGAAACUGCCUGGGAUGACCAGGAGGAAGGCGAGGAUGACGUCAAGUCCUCAUGGCCCUUAUGGGCUGGGCUACACACGUGCUACAAUGGCGGUGACAGAGGGAAGCAAUAGGGCAACCUGGAGCAAAUCCCCAAAAGCCGUCUCAGUUCGGAUUGUUCUCUGCAACUCGAGAGCAUGAAGUUGGAAUCGCUAGUAAUCGUAGAUCAGCAUGCUACGGUGAAUACGUUCCCGGGCCUUGUACACACCGCCCGUCACACCAUGGGAGUUGGUUUUACCCGAAGACGGUAUCCUAACCUUUAUGGAGGGAGCCGGCCACGGUAGGGUCAGCGACUGGGGUGAAGUCGUAACAAGGUAACC